This is a long non-coding RNA of Salvia miltiorrhiza (redroot sage), 2022 nucleotides long. RefSeq lists it as uncharacterized. The record is from RefSeq and is a predicted model, not a curated record. The transcript is spliced from 2 exons. NCBI's taxonomy places the organism in Eukaryota, Viridiplantae, Streptophyta, Magnoliopsida, Lamiales, Lamiaceae.
UAAUAAGUUUCUUUCCUUUUCUUUAGGAAGGCUGUCCAGGUUCAAUGUAUCUGAAAAUAGCAAGAAAAGUGGAUCUCGUGAAAGUUGAUUGAUCACGCAAGGUGAAUUUUAUUCAAUUUGUCUCUAGACUUUUUUCCUUCAACAAAUUUAGACCACAGAAAUGGUAGUUUUUUUAUGCAAUUCUUUUUUUUUUUGAUCAAGAAAAGGGAAGUAAUAUUAAAACCAUGGUACCAGCGGUACCAGAAAGAAGAGAGUCCGGCAAAGAACAGCACACAAAGAAGAGCAGAAAGAGAGGAAAGAGAGCGGCGGUUGGGUCAGCCGGGCUCAGGAACAAUCGAAGACAUCCAAGUUCCUCAUCCACGAGAGAAGAUUAGGGUGCCGGGGCCUUCCAGAUCUUCGAGAAUGCUAGAUUUUUCGGUUGGUUUCUGCUCAAAGCUCUAGCUCCACGGAUAAUUUUGUAAGCCGACUUUGCAGAAAAGAUUCUGUUGGGGUCCGGCUUCCAUCUCCAACCGUCUUGCUUUCCUGCGAAAAGAGGGAAAUUAUUGAUAAUAGAGAGGAUUUCAGAGAGCUGAGCAUCCUCGCGCUCCCUCAGAACCCGUUUCCAAAGAGGUCUCCACUCCCACACUCCGUCUGCCCAGCCACCCAUGUCGAAAAGAGUUCCCCCCUGGUUACUGCUCAAGCGAAAGAGUCUUGGAAAACUGUCUUUAAGCCUUUUCUCUACUGCCCACCUGUGAUGCUAGAACAAAUUAGAUUUUUCGUCUCCAAUUUUCCUUUUCAAAUUUUCAUUGAGCCAUCUCCCUUCCUCCCCCCAACUGAGUUUCAAAAUCUUCUUCCACCAGCCGGCUUUCGCCUUCUUAUUUCUUGCAAAACAAAAGCCAUCCUCGUUCCACUCCAAAUCACCCUUACAAGCUUUCACCACCCGAACCCAAAGGGAAUGCUCCUCCGACAAAAAUCUCCACAACCACUUAGUCAUAAGGGCCAAAUUGAAGCUUUCCAGAUCUUUUAGGCCGAACCCCCCCUCUCGGGUGUCUUGACAGAGAUCAUCCCAUUUUACCCAAUGGAUCUUUCUCUCCUCCAAGCCCUCCCCUCCCCAAAGAAAAUUGCUCAUCAAAGAGCGAAGAUCAGCCACCACUUUCUUGGGCAAAAUCGAGAAAGACAUUUGAUAGAUCGGAAUAGAUAAGAGGACCGAUCGGAGCAGUGUGAGUCUGCCAACAAAGGAGACCUUUCGGUUCAUCCACUUGAAAAUUCUUCUCUUUAUUUUUUCAACCAAGUACUUCCAGUCAUCGACUCGGGAUAUUCGAGCGCCAAUCAAAAUUCCCAAGUAUUUAGUUGGGAGAUCCUCGACUUUACAAUCGAGAAUUGCCGCCAACUGAUCUCUGAUUGGUCUUUGGAUGCCAAUCCCGAAAAUACAGCUCUUAUCAAAGUUGACUUUUAGGCCUGAGAGCAGUUCGAAAAUUUUAAGAAUACACUUCACCGUCCAAACAUUCUCAGCUUUCCCCGGGGCGAGGAACACUGUGUCGUCCGCAUAUUGAAGAUGAGAGAUUUUUGUGCCAUUAUUCCCAAGCUCAAUAGGUUCGAUCAGCCAUUUCUGAAUAGCUCUCUCUGUGAGUAAAUUAAGACCCUCUGCGACAAUAAAAAAAAGAUAGGGGGAUAAAGGAUCCCCUGUCUGAGUCCUCUUUCCAAUUGGAAUUCGCCCGAAGGACUUCCAUUGAUCAAGACGUUAGCGGUGGCAGAAAGAAGGCAACCCGAGAUCCAUUUUCUCCACUUUAAGCCGAAGUUCAUCCUGUCGAGCAUUUGGUCCAGAAAGUCCCAAUCAAUUGUGUCAUAAGCCUUUUCGAAAUCUACUUUGAACAGGAUUGAGCCCUUCUUCCUUUUUUUGACCUCUUCGAUUACCUCAUUUAGCACAAUAACCCCGUCCAGAAUGUACCUCCUUUUUUUAUGCAAUUCUUAGUACGAUACUAAAGAAUUAGUCGAAAUGUGACUUGUUAAAUCAGCCAUUGGAAUGAGAUUCAGUAUACCACA